RNAcentral lists this ribosomal RNA (372 nucleotides) under uncultured fungus. Its description in RNAcentral is "partial large subunit ribosomal RNA". Lineage: Eukaryota; Fungi. The record is from RNAcentral.
UUGAAAGGGAAACGAUUGAAGUCAGUCGUACCUGCGGAUAAUCAACCUUUAGAUGCGAUUUUGUGGAGUGUGAGGAGCUAAUCGCCUUCAUGCCUGUAUAUUCGUGUACUUGGGGUGUACUUAUUCGUGAGGUAAGUUAACAUCAAUUUUGGUGGUCAUAAAAUGACUGGAGGAAUGUAGCUUCGAUCUGGUAUUGAAGUGUUAUAGCCUUCGGUAGAUGUGAUGAUCGAGAUUGAGGAUUGCAACGGAUACCCUUCGGGGCUACCUGUCUGGUCUCUGAUCGUUGCUCUGGUGCCGAAAGCUUGCUUACGGUUAUCAAAGUCGAUGGUCAAUAGGUUAGAACGGGUUAAAUUCGUUAAGGAUGUUGACGUA